GCGGCUCAUCAUUGUAGCUGGAGGUUUAGCAGCACUCAUAAUAUCUGUUGUUACAGUCAACGUGUGGACAAGAAGUAAAGGUGAAUAAUGAUGAAGAUGAAGAUGAUGGUCCAGUCAACUAUGAAAACGUUGGAGACCCUUCUGCUUCUGUCAGACACUGAUCAACAUCAACUCACCACAGAAAUGAGUCCACUGCUGUUAAAUAUCAUCUCAGAUCAACACAGCUCCUAAAGUCUGUAUUUCUGAUCACACAACAAUCAUCACAACUGGAAAUUUGGACGAUGUUAAAUCACAAGUUUAGAUACCCAGCCUUCCCUGAAAUCACCUGUCAGCCUAUUAACCACACCCAGGAAGUUCUAUAACCCCUCCUCCUUUGGCCUGCAGGCCCUUUUCCCUCCAAACCAACCAAGACAACAAAGACAACUACUGUGAGUGAAAUAAUGGACUUUCAAUCCUAAUGUUUAGUUCCCUUAUAACAGUUAUUUUCUUGUUGUUUCCUUGUUGCAUCUUUUUGUCUGGGUUGUUGAAUGUUUGUUUCUGUUACAUUACAUUAGAUUCCUGUGUUAAUAUGCUGAAGAUGAUGAGACAUACAGAAAUAGUGGAUGUGUUGUUGUUUCACUGGCCUUGAAAAAGUCGAGCUCAUCAGAGGAGGUGAUGUUUUGGAUUGACAGGCUCAAUACUGUGGAGCCCACAGGCCUUAAUGAGAGCUUUAGUUUCAAACCUUUCUCAUGACAGUGUUUGGAUCUUGAUGUAUGAUGCAGUGUUUGUGUUGUUGUGUUUCUGUUCUCUACACUAGAUUGUACUUUGUCAGAGUUCUUGU
This is a long non-coding RNA of Lates calcarifer (barramundi perch), 820 nucleotides long. RefSeq lists it as uncharacterized. Lineage: Eukaryota; Metazoa; Chordata; Actinopteri; Centropomidae. The transcript is spliced from 3 exons. The record is from RefSeq and is a predicted model, not a curated record.